GCCAGGUGUGGUGGUGCACACCUGUAUUCCCAACUACUCAGGAGGCUGAGGUGGGAGGAUUGCUUGAGCCCAGGAGGUUGAGGUUGCAUUGAACCAAUCACGCCAUUGCCCUCUAGCCUGGACAACAGAGAGAGGGGAGACUCCAUCUUAAAAAAACGGCUGGGCACAGUGGCUCAUGCCUGUAAUCCCAGCACUUUGGGAGGCUGGGACGAGUGGAUCGCCUGAGGUCAGGAGUUCGAGACCAGCCUGGCCAACAUAGUGAAACCCCAUCUCU
RNAcentral lists this small RNA (274 nucleotides) under Piliocolobus tephrosceles (Ugandan red Colobus). Its description in RNAcentral is "Metazoan signal recognition particle RNA (ENSPTEG00000034262.1)". Lineage: Eukaryota; Metazoa; Chordata; Mammalia; Primates; Cercopithecidae. The record is from RNAcentral.